Molecule: ribosomal RNA, 497 nt
Filed under: uncultured bacterium
Lineage: Bacteria
Description: partial 16S ribosomal RNA
Rfam family: Bacterial small subunit ribosomal RNA
Source: RNAcentral
GAUGAACGCUGGCGGCGUGCCUAAUACAUGCAAGUCGAGCGAACGGACGAGAAGCUUGCUUCUCUGAUGUUAGCGGCGGACGGGUGAGUAACACGUGGAUAACCUACCUAUAAGACUGGGAUAACUUCGGGAAACCGGAGCUAAUACCGGAUAAUAUUUUGAACCGCAUGGUUCAAAAGUGAAAGACGGUCUUGCUGUCACUUAUAGAUGGAUCCGCGCUGCAUUAGCUAGUUGGUAAGGUAACGGCUUACAAAGGCAACGAUGCAUAGCCGACCUGAGAGGUGGUUCGCCCACUUUGGAAUGGGAAAACGGCCCAGACUCCUAGGGGAGCAAGAAGAAGGGAACCUUCGGCAUGGGGCGAAAGCCUGACGGAGCAACGCGGCGUGGGUGAUGAAGUUCUCCGGAUCGAAAAACCUUGUUAUUAGGGAAGAACAUAUGUGUAAGUAACUGUGCACAUAUUGACGGUACCUAAUCAGAAAGCCACGGCUAACUACGUG